This 478-nucleotide ribosomal RNA is filed under the name uncultured Methanolinea sp. RNAcentral describes it as "bacterial SSU rRNA". It matches the Rfam family "Archaeal small subunit ribosomal RNA", at positions 862 to 1338 of the family's 1478-position model. Lineage: Archaea; Methanobacteriati; Methanobacteriota; Methanomicrobia; Methanomicrobiales; Methanoregulaceae. The record is from RNAcentral.
UAGAAUUGACGGGGAGCACCACAACAGGUGGAGCCUGCGGUUUAAUCGGACUCAACGCCGGGAAUCUCACCGGAUAAGACAGCUGGAUGAUAGCCGGGCUGAAGACUCUGCUUGACUAGCUGAGAGGAGGUGCAUGGCCGUCGUCAGUUCGUACUGUGAAGCAUCCUGUUAAGUCAGGCAACGAGCGAGACCCACGUCCACAGUUGCCAGCAUACCCUCCGGGGUGAUGGGUACACUGUGGAGACCGCCGCUGCUAAAGCGGAGGAAGGAAUGGGCAACGGUAGGUCAGUAUGCCCCGAAUCUCCCGGGCUACACGCGGACUACAAUGGUUGGUACAAUGGGCAUCUACCCCGAAAGGGGAAGGAAAUCUCUUAAAGCCAAUCGUAGUUCGGAUUGAGGGCUGCAACUCGCCCUCAUGAAGCUGGAAUCCGUAGUAAUCGCGUUUCAACAGAACGCGGUGAAUACGUCCCUGCUCCUU